RNAcentral lists this ribosomal RNA (432 nucleotides) under Pseudomonas sp. R9.1. RNAcentral's name for it is "bacterial SSU rRNA". It matches the Rfam family "Bacterial small subunit ribosomal RNA", at positions 86 to 514 of the family's 1533-position model. Lineage: Bacteria; Pseudomonadati; Pseudomonadota; Gammaproteobacteria; Pseudomonadales; Pseudomonadaceae. The record is from RNAcentral.
UCUGAUUCAGCGGCGGACGGGUGAGUAAUGCCUAGGAAUCUGCCUGGUAGUGGGGGACAACGUCUCGAAAGGGACGCUAAUACCGCAUACGUCCUACGGGAGAAAGCAGGGGACCUUCGGGCCUUGCGCUAUCAGAUGAGCCUAGGUCGGAUUAGCUAGUUGGUGAGGUAAUGGCUCACCAAGGCGACGAUCCGUAACUGGUCUGAGAGGAUGAUCAGUCACACUGGAACUGAGACACGGUCCAGACUCCUACGGGAGGCAGCAGUGGGGAAUAUUGGACAAUGGGCGAAAGCCUGAUCCAGCCAUGCCGCGUGUGUGAAGAAGGUCUUCGGAUUGUAAAGCACUUUAAGUUGGGAGGAAGGGCAGUAAGCGAAUACCUUGCUGUUUUGACGUUACCGACAGAAUAAGCACCGGCUAACUCUGUGCCAGCAG